CCUACGGGAGGCAGCAGUGAGGAAUAUUGGUCAAUGGCCGAGAGGCUGAACCAGCCAAGUCGCGUGAGGGAAGACGGCCCUACGGGCUGUAAACCUCUUUUGUCGGGGAGCAAAGCGAACCACGUGUGGUUCAUUGAGAGUACCCGAAGAAAAAGCAUCGGCUAAGUCCGUGCCAGCAGCCGCGGUAAUACGGAGGAUGCGAGCGUUAUCCGGAUUUCAUGGGUUAAACGGGUGAGCAGGCGGAGGUGCAAGUCAGCGGUAAAAUUGCGGGGCUAAACACCGUACUGCCGUUGAAACUGCAUCGCUUGAGUGCGAGAGAGGUAUGCGGAAUGCGUGGUGUAGCGGUGAAAUGCAUAGAUAUCACGAAGAACUCCGAGUGCGAAGGCAGCAUACCGGCGCGCAACUGACGCUCAUGCACGAAAGCGUGGGUAUCGAACAGGAUUAGAUACCCGGGUAGUC
RNAcentral lists this ribosomal RNA (459 nucleotides) under uncultured bacterium. Its description in RNAcentral is "partial 16S ribosomal RNA". It matches the Rfam family "Bacterial small subunit ribosomal RNA", at positions 338 to 795 of the family's 1533-position model. The record is from RNAcentral.